This 76-nucleotide transfer RNA is filed under the name Caulobacteraceae bacterium. RNAcentral describes it as "tRNA-Met". It matches the Rfam family "tRNA". From Rfam's summary of the family: Transfer RNA (tRNA) molecules are approximately 80 nucleotides in length. Their secondary structure includes four short double-helical elements and three loops (D, anti-codon, and T loops). The record is from RNAcentral. Lineage: Bacteria; Pseudomonadati; Pseudomonadota; Alphaproteobacteria; Caulobacterales; Caulobacteraceae.
UGCGGGGUGGAGCGAUUGGUAGCUCAACGGGCUCAUAACCCGGAGGCCGCAGGUUCGAAUCCUGCCCCCGCGACAA